RNAcentral lists this ribosomal RNA (253 nucleotides) under uncultured bacterium. RNAcentral's name for it is "partial 16S ribosomal RNA". It matches the Rfam family "Bacterial small subunit ribosomal RNA", at positions 524 to 776 of the family's 1533-position model. The record is from RNAcentral.
AACGUAGGACACAAGCGUUAUCCGGAGUUACUGGGCGUAAAGGGCGUGUAGGCGGAGAUGUAAGUCUAUUCUGAAAGCUCCUGGCUAAACUGGGAGAGGCGAAUGGAGACUGCAUGUCUAGAGUGAGGAAGAGGAAAGUGGAAUUCCGCGUGUAGUGGUGAAAUGCGUAGAGAUGUGGAGGAACACCGAUGGCGAAGGCAGCCUCCUGGGCCAAUACUGACGCUCAUGCACGAAAGCGUGGGGAGCAAACAGG